GUGGGGAAUAUUGGACAAUGGGCGAAAGCCUGAUCCAGCCAUGCCGCGUGAGUGAUGAAGGCCUUAGGGUUGUAAAGCUCUUUCAGUAGAGAAGAUAAUGACGGUACCUACAGAAGAAGCCCCGGCUAACUUCGUGCCAGCAGCCGCGGUAAUACGAAGGGGGCUAGCGUUGUUCGGAUUUACUGGGCGUAAAGCGCACGUAGGCGGAUUGGUCAGUUAGAGGUGAAAUCCUGGAGCUCAACUCCAGAACUGCCUUUAAUACUGCCAGUCUAGAGUCCAGAAGAGGUGAGUGGAACUCCUAGUGUAGAGGUGGAAUUCGUAGAUAUUAGGAAGAACACCAGUGGCGAAGGCGGCUCACUGGUCUGGUACUGACGCUGAGGUGCGAAAGCGUGGGGAGCAAACAGGAUUAGAAACCCUUGUAGUCC
This 425-nucleotide ribosomal RNA is filed under the name uncultured bacterium. RNAcentral describes it as "bacterial SSU rRNA". It matches the Rfam family "Bacterial small subunit ribosomal RNA", at positions 354 to 796 of the family's 1533-position model. The record is from RNAcentral.